CAGCAAACGUGGAUGUGUGCAAUGCAGGUUUCAGAAUUCUAAGAAAAAUCAGCUUGUUUUAUGAGGAGGGAAAUGCAUUUGUUAGACCUCAAGGAUGCACACAGUGUGUUUGGUGGUAUAAUUGUUUUCUGACUGGAGAAUUGGCGCCACCUGAUGCUUAUCACAAUGGACCAGCUCUUUAUAAUCUCAUAAGGGUAGUGGAUGGAAACAAGAUUUCAUUCACAUCUUCUUUUGAGUAUGCAGGGGUAUAUUAUUAUUCCCCUUUACUGAGAAGGAGAGGAUGACAAAUUGAGGAACAGGCUUAAAGACACCCGGGAAGAGAGAGAAUCAGUCCUAUUAGGGUCAAAGAUCAUCCCACAGGAGAUGUGUUUCAUACCUUCUUCUUCUCCACUGUCCUUUGUUCUAGUCACCAGGACUAAGAUGGUAUGACGAGAGAUGGGAAAGAAUAAAGGAAUGUAAUCAGGUGAUGUAAGGGACGGGUAGUGUGAUGGAUGGCAUGGCCCCUUGCUCUCAGCGAGUAUGCGUGUGCACACAUGGUUUGUUCGCACUUGAGUGUGUUCAUAGGCUUCUACUGUAGAGAGGGAUGCAUUGAUGGACGAGGAGCAUCCUUUGCAGUUUCAGCAGAGGAAGUGCUUAAAGCAUCCGGGCCUCCAGGGAUGGGCCAUGUCACCGUCUCCCAUCCUCGUGACUUAUGGACCUGCCAUGACAAACACCCAAGGGCUGCUGUUGUGGCUUUGGGUGUGGGGAGGGUUGGGAUAUAAUAGCCCACGUGAUGACAGAAGCCAGACCCCCUGGAAGAAACCCAUCUCUCUGUUCUAAAACGGAACGUUUUCCAAUAAAGGCUGUAAAGCUUGUAGAAUAAUUUGUGAAAUAAUUCUAAUUCUGAUUUAUGAAAGUAUGUGCAGGGGAGGAAAUUAAUGGAGAGUAAUGUUAAGUCGUCUCACAAAUAUUUAAGAUUGUUUUCUAAUUAUUUCUCUCAAGCUCCUCCUUGGUGUGUGUGUGUUUUCAUAUUUACUCUCUGUUUAGGAUUUAGCCUGCAGCAGGAAGAAAUGGAAUAGAUUGUGAUAAAUUAGAUUAAAGCACACAGUGCAAAAAAGGAUGUUUUUUUUUUUUUUAUACACCGCUGCCUCAGCUCUCAGUGCAUCUCCAGCGUUAUACGUAAAGAGAGACAUUACCUUUGCAUGAAUUGUUAUUUUUGUCUUCUACAAAAUUCUACCACCAUCAAGUCAUUUUGCGGGGAAAAAAACAUACAUUUUCAGGGGGG
Molecule: long non-coding RNA, 1264 nt
Organism: Perca flavescens (yellow perch)
Lineage: Eukaryota; Metazoa; Chordata; Actinopteri; Perciformes; Percidae
Exons: 3
Source: RefSeq, a predicted model, not a curated record